Molecule: ribosomal RNA, 105 nt
Filed under: Oncorhynchus mykiss (rainbow trout)
Lineage: Eukaryota; Metazoa; Chordata; Actinopteri; Salmoniformes; Salmonidae
Source: RNAcentral
GCUUACGGCCAUACCAGCCUGAAUACGAUCUCGCAAGCUAAGCAGGGUUGGGCCUGGUUAGUACUUGGAUGGGAGACCGCCUGGGAAUACCAGGUGCUGUAAGCG